Callithrix jacchus (white-tufted-ear marmoset) is the source of this 133-nucleotide small nucleolar RNA. NCBI's taxonomy places the organism in Eukaryota, Metazoa, Chordata, Mammalia, Primates, Cebidae. The record is from Ensembl.
CUCCACGGCUACUGGUCUGCAGCUGUUCUUAUGGUAGCAGUCAUGGCAUUCCUCUGUGGGAAAGAAACUGUUAACAAAUUAAACACCUCUUUCUUAGCAAAACAGAAAGUGUGCAUAUGUGUGACAGACACAC